GGAAGUAAAAGUCGUAACAAGGUUUCCGUAGGUGAACCUGCGGAAGGAUCAUUACAAGUGAGGUUACCGAACGUUGGAAACAGCGGUUAGGAGCUUACACCCACCCGUGUUUACAUACUAUUGUUGCUUUGGCGGGCCGUGGCCUCCACUGCGGGCUCUGCUCGUGUGUGCCCGCCAGAGAACCAAACUCUGAAUGUUAGUGAUGUCUGAGUACUAUCUAAUAGUUAAAACUUUCAACAACGGAUCUCUUGGUUCUGGCAUCGAUGAAGAACGCAGCGAAAUGCGAUAAGUAAUGUGAAUUGCAGAAUUCAGUGAAUCAUCGAAUCUUCGAACGCACAUUGCGCCCUGUGGUAUUCCGCAGGGCAUGCCUGUUCGAGCGUCAUUUAACCACUCACGCCUGGCGUGGUAUUGGGGCACGCGGUCUCCGCGGCCCUCAAAAUUAGUGGCGGUGCCGGUGGGCUCUAAGCGUAGUACAUACUCCCGCUAUAGAGUUCCCCCGGUGGCUCGCCAGAACCCCCAAUUUUUUACAGGUUGACCUCGGAUCAGGUAGGGAUACCCGCUGAACUUAAGCAUAUCAAUAAGCGGAGGAA
Molecule: ribosomal RNA, 590 nt
Filed under: uncultured Phialocephala
Lineage: Eukaryota; Fungi; Ascomycota; Leotiomycetes; Helotiales
Description: eukaryotic LSU rRNA
Rfam family: 5.8S ribosomal RNA (bases 229-382)
Source: RNAcentral